Mytilus trossulus (common blue mussel) is the source of this 443-nucleotide long non-coding RNA. RefSeq lists it as uncharacterized. Lineage: Eukaryota; Metazoa; Mollusca; Bivalvia; Mytilida; Mytilidae. The transcript is spliced from 3 exons. The record is from RefSeq and is a predicted model, not a curated record.
GUAUAUGAUGUUGACAUGUCAUUUUAGAUUUGUUUGCCAUCACAGUCUACAGAGCUAGAGUCAGAAACUACAUGUACUACAGAAAGCAGUCAAUAUUUAUCUCAGAAUUUUUCUGGAAGCUACACACACACCUUUACAACUACUACCUUAACCACUGAGAAGAGUUUUUGGACCAUACACUGCUUGGUUGAAGUCCCUGCUAUCAUGACAGUUCAGGUGGGGCAGUUCCAAAAAGGGUAUAGUACAAUGUGCAGAAUUAUUGCUCAGUGUGGUGUGAAAAUAAUAACCAAUUUAGAGGGAAUUGACUACUUUGUGGCAGAAGGAUAAGUCCAGCAUUCAAAACAUUAUCAAAAUUUUUGUGCAAAUAGAGGGUUUGAAUCUACAACAGAGCAAAGAUGCAAGAUCCUUACUUUUACAGUGCAGACAGUAUCUCAAAACAGAUU